CAGCAGCCGCGGUAAUACGUAGGUCCCGAGCGUUGUCCGGAUNUAUUGGGCGUAAAGCGAGCGCAGGCGAUUAGAUAAGUCUGAAGUUAAAGGCUGUGGCUUAACCAUAGUACGCNUUGGAAACUGUUUAACNUGAGUGCAAGAGGGGAGAGUGGAAUNCCAUGUGUAGCGGUGAAAUGCGUAGAUAUAUGGAGGAACACCGGUGGCGAAAGCGGCUCUCUGGCUUGUAACUGACGCUGAGGCUCGAAAGCGUGGGGAGCAAACAGGAUUAGAUACCCUGGUAGUCCACGCCGUAAACGAUGAGUGCUAGGUGUUAGACCCUUUCCGGGGUUUAGUGCCGCAGCUAACGCAUUAAGCACUCCGCCUGGGGAGU
This 373-nucleotide ribosomal RNA is filed under the name uncultured bacterium. RNAcentral's name for it is "bacterial SSU rRNA". It matches the Rfam family "Bacterial small subunit ribosomal RNA", at positions 509 to 881 of the family's 1533-position model. The record is from RNAcentral.